This 433-nucleotide ribosomal RNA is filed under the name uncultured bacterium. RNAcentral's name for it is "partial 16S ribosomal RNA". It matches the Rfam family "Bacterial small subunit ribosomal RNA", at positions 29 to 507 of the family's 1533-position model. The record is from RNAcentral.
AACGAACGCUGGCGGCAUGCCUAACACAUGCAAGUCGAACGAGACCUUCGGGUCUAGUGGCGCACGGGUGCGUAACGCGUGGGAACCUGCCCUUAGGUUCGGAAUAACUCCCCGAAAGGUGUGCUAAUACCGGAUAAUGUCUUCGGACCAAAGAUUUAUCGCCUUUGGAUGGGCCCGCGUUGGAUUAGCUAGUUGGUAGGGUAAAAGCCUACAAAGGCGACGAUCCAUAGCUGGUCUGAGAGGAUGAUCAGCCACACUGGGACUGAGACACGGCCCAGACUCCUACGGGAGGCAGCAGUGGGGAAUAUUGGACAAUGGGCGAAAGCCUGAUCCAGCAAUGCCGCGUGAGUGAUGAAGGCCUUAGGGUUGUAAAGCUCUUUUACCCGGGAUGAUAAUGACAGUACCGGGAGAAUAAGCUCCGGCUAACUCCGUG